RNAcentral lists this ribosomal RNA (253 nucleotides) under uncultured bacterium. Its description in RNAcentral is "partial 16S ribosomal RNA". It matches the Rfam family "Bacterial small subunit ribosomal RNA", at positions 524 to 776 of the family's 1533-position model. The record is from RNAcentral.
UACGUAGGGACCAAGCGUUGUUCGGAUUUACUGGGCGUAAAGGGCGCGUAGGCGGCGCGGUAAGUCACUUGUGAAAUCUCUGAGCUUAACUCAGAACGGCCAAGUGAUACUGCAGUGCUAGAGUGUGGAAGGGGCAAUCGGAAUUCUUGGUGUAGCGGUGAAAUGCGUAGAUAUCAAGAGGAACACCUGAGGUGAAGACGGGUGACUGGGCUGGUUCUGACACUGAGGCACGAAAGCGUGGGGAGCGAACGGG